GACGAACGCUGGCGGCGUGCUUAACACAUGCAAGUCGAACGGAAAGGCCCUGCUUUUGUGGUGUGCUCGAGUGGCGAACGUGUGAGUAACACGAGAGUAACCUGCCCUUGACUUUGGUAUAACUUCAGGAAACUGGUGCUAAUACCGGAUAGGUGCUCCUGCUGCAUGGUGGGGGUUGGAAAGUUUCGGCGGUUGGGGAUGGACUCGCGGCUUAUCAGCUUGUUGGUGGGGUAGUGGCUUACCAAGGCUUUGACGGGUAGCCGGCCUGAGAGGGUGACCGGCCACAUUGGGACUGAGAUACGGCCCAGACUCCUACGGGAGGCAGCAGUGGGGAAUAUUGCACAAUGGGCGGAAGCCUGAUGCAGCAACGCCGCGUGCGGGAUGACGGCCUUCGGGUUGUAAACCGCUUUCGCCUGUGACGAAGCGUGAGUGACGGUAAUGGGUAAAGAAGCACCGGCUAACUACGUG
This 468-nucleotide ribosomal RNA is filed under the name uncultured bacterium. RNAcentral describes it as "partial 16S ribosomal RNA". It matches the Rfam family "Bacterial small subunit ribosomal RNA", at positions 28 to 507 of the family's 1533-position model. The record is from RNAcentral.